Molecule: long non-coding RNA, 209 nt
Organism: Ananas comosus (pineapple)
Lineage: Eukaryota; Viridiplantae; Streptophyta; Magnoliopsida; Poales; Bromeliaceae
Exons: 3
Source: RefSeq, a predicted model, not a curated record
UGGUGGUGGGGAAGCAGGAGUCCGGCGACCUGGUUGUGAUCGCGGCGGUGUCGUAGGCAUGGAAGGGGUAGACGGAGAAGAAGGUGAUGAUUCUAAUAUCGAAAAUCUGGUGGUGGUACCAAUAUCAAAGGCUUCUGCACAGCAAAGGGCUGGGAGAGCUGGAAGAGUACAACCUGGGAAGUGUUAUAAGCUCUACACAGAAGAUAUUA